RNAcentral lists this transfer RNA (75 nucleotides) under Acidocella aromatica. Its description in RNAcentral is "tRNA-Ile". The record is from RNAcentral. Lineage: Bacteria; Pseudomonadati; Pseudomonadota; Alphaproteobacteria; Acetobacterales; Acidocellaceae.
GCGGGUAAUUGUUACUAUAUCGGAAUGAUACUUCUAAUCUUGAGGCCGGUGGUUCGAUUCCACCAGGGCGCGCCA